Molecule: ribosomal RNA, 1053 nt
Filed under: Rhodococcus sp. (in: high G+C Gram-positive bacteria)
Lineage: Bacteria; Bacillati; Actinomycetota; Actinomycetes; Mycobacteriales; Nocardiaceae
Description: bacterial SSU rRNA
Rfam family: Bacterial small subunit ribosomal RNA
Source: RNAcentral
UGCAAGUCGAGCGGUAAGGCCUUUCGGGGUACACGAGCGGCGAACGGGUGAGUAACACGUGGGUGAUCUGCCCUGCACUUCGGGAUAAGCCUGGGAAACUGGGUCUAAUACCGGAUAUGACCUCAGGUUGCAUGACUUGGGGUGGAAAGAUUUAUCGGUGCAGGAUGGGCCCGCGGCCUAUCAGCUUGUUGGUGGGGUAAUGGCCUACCAAGGCGACGACGGGUAGCCGACCUGAGAGGGUGACCGGCCACACUGGGACUGAGACACGGCCCAGACUCCUACGGGAGGCAGCAGUGGGGAAUAUUGCACAAUGGGCGAAAGCCUGAUGCAGCGACGCCGCGUGAGGGAUGACGGCCUUCGGGUUGUAAACCUCUUUCAGCAGGGACGAAGCGCAAGUGACGGUACCUGCAGAAGAAGCACCGGCUAACUACGUGCCAGCAGCCGCGGUAAUACGUAGGGUGCAAGCGUUGUCCGGAAUUACUGGGCGUAAAGAGUUCGUAGGCGGUUUGUCGCGUCGUUUGUGAAAACCAGCAGCUCAACUGCUGGCUUGCAGGCGAUACGGGCAGACUUGAGUACUGCAGGGGAGACUGGAAUUCCUGGUGUAGCGGUGAAAUGCGCAGAUAUCAGGAGGAACACCGGUGGCGAAGGCGGGUCUCUGGGCAGUAACUGACGCUGAGGAACGAAAGCGUGGGUAGCGAACAGGAUUAGAUACCCUGGUAGUCCACGCCGUAAACGGUGGGCGCUAGGUGUGGGUUCCUUCCACGGAAUCCGUGCCGUAGCUAACGCAUUAAGCGCCCCGCCUGGGGAGUACGGCCGCAAGGCUAAGACUCAAAGGAAUUGACGGGGGCCCGCACAAGCGGCGGAGCAUGUGGAUUAAUUCGAUGCAACGCGAAGAACCUUACCUGGGUUUGACAUAUACCGGAGAGCUGCACAGAUGUGGCCCCCCUUGUGGUCGGUAUACAGGUGGUGCAUGGCUGUCGUCACCUCGUGUCGUGAAAUGUUGGUUUAAGUCCCGCAUCGAGCGCAACCCCGAUUUUAUGUUGCCCGCACGUU